This 491-nucleotide ribosomal RNA is filed under the name uncultured bacterium. RNAcentral describes it as "partial 16S ribosomal RNA". It matches the Rfam family "Bacterial small subunit ribosomal RNA", at positions 29 to 507 of the family's 1533-position model. The record is from RNAcentral.
GUGAACGCUGGCGGUAGGCCUAACACCUGCAAGUCGAACGGCAGCACAGUAAGAGCUUGCUCUUACGGGUGGCGAGUGGCGGACGGGUGAGGAAUACAUCGGAAUCUACUUUUUCGUGGGGGAUAACGUAGGGAAACUUACGCUAAUACCGCAUACGACCUACGGGUGAAAGCAUGGGAUCUUCGGACCUUGCGCGAUUGAAUGAGCCGAUUUCGGAUUAGCUAGUUGGCGGGGUAAAGGCCCAACAAGGCGACGAUCCGUAGCUGGUCUGAUAGGAUGAUCAGCCACACUGGAACUGAGACACGGUACAGACUCCUACGGGAGGAAGAAGUGGGGAAUAUUGGACAAGGGGCGGAAGCAUGAUCCAGCAAUACCGCGUGGGUGAAGAAGGACUUCGGGUUGUAAAGCCCUUCUGUUGGGAAAGAAAAGAAGCAGGUUAAUACCCCGCUGUUCUGACGGUACCCAAAGAAUAAGCACCGGCUAACUUCGUG